RNAcentral lists this ribosomal RNA (462 nucleotides) under uncultured bacterium. RNAcentral describes it as "partial 16S ribosomal RNA". It matches the Rfam family "Bacterial small subunit ribosomal RNA", at positions 28 to 507 of the family's 1533-position model. The record is from RNAcentral.
GACGAACGCUGGCGGCGUGCUUAACACAUGCAAGUCGAACGGAAAGGCCCUUCGGGGUACUCGAGUGGCGAACGGGUGAGUAACACGUGGGUGAUCUACCCUGCACUUUGGGAUAAGCCUGGGAAACUGGGUCUAAUACCGAAUAGGACCACGCGCUUCAUGGUGUGUGGUGGAAAGCUUUUGCGGUGUGGGAUGGGCCCGCGGCCUAUCAGCUUGUUGGUGGGGUAAUGGCCUACCAAGGCGACGACGGGUAGCCGGCCUGAGAGGGUGACCGGCCACACUGUGACUGAGAUACGGCCCAGACUCCUACGGGAGGCAGCAGUGGGGAAUAUUGCACAAUGGGCGCAAGCCUGAUGCAGCGACGCCGCGUGAGGGAUGACGGCCUUCGGGUUGUAAACCUCUUUCAAUAGGGACGAAGCGCAAGUGACGGUACCUAUAGAAGAAGCACCGGCCAACUACGUG